GGGGGCAACAAAGGGUUGGGACACAAAGUCAUUCUCAGAAGAAGGAAAGCCUGGAAGAUCUUUCAACAGACUUCCUGGUGCUGGGUCUCCUUGUUCUCUCUUUAGUGUGACCGAGAGGCCAGAUGACCACGUAUAUGCCUAAGAGGAGAAGCUGCCACCUGUUGCUGUAAAUCUGAGACUCUGCCCAAAGGUGAAAUGCAGUCAGCUAAGUUCUUGGGUGCCUUUCUGGAUUUGAGAACCUGUUUGGAAUCAGCCAUACGUUUCCGUCCACUGGGAAAUGGGGUUGACCUGCCUUAGCCAGGCCUCACAUGCCAUCCUGAUGAAACAUUAUUUUAGGGGCUGGCAGCCCUGAACUGGCUUCUGUUCUGCUGGCCCCAUAGGCUGGCUCAGUUCCAGGCUCACCUUUCGCUACCCUUGUGGCUGCCACAUUGCCCAGCUUUGAUUUAUCGUGUCUUCAGCAGAGCUGUGGGCCUAGAGUGAUUUAAUGUUGAUAUUAUAUGUCACACAGAAGAUGCCAGCAUCGCCAGCAGAUCUCAUGUCUCCACUCUCCAGCAGUCUGGAUUGAGGGCCCUAAAGAAGGCAGGUGACCCUAAGGCCCCCUCUUGGAAAGGGGCUGUUGAACGUCCUUUACUCUUCUUAAAAUUUCCAUUUGAAACCUGUUUUGCUGCAUGUCACCCCCUGCAGCCAAUAUUGAUGUUAAUCUUGGGCUGCAUAUGCAAUGUGACCUCGGAUGAAAUUGAACAACUGGGUAAUUAUCUGUGGACCUAUUUCUAAUGAAAUAAUUGGAAUAAUUGGAAUAGGAUUAGUAGAACUGCAGAGAGACCUGUUGCUCCUAGCUGGGCUCUUAAUGCCAAACAAAAGAAGCAACGUGUCAGUAAUUCAGUUGGUGGAUGCCUUGGAGCCAUUCAAGAUGCAUUUUGCUCAUUAGCCAAAUCUCUUCCUGCCCUCAUCCUCCCCCAACAUUUGUUUCAGAUGUGAUUUUCAUGAAGCAUGUCCCUGUGUCUUGUUUGUCUUUGGCAAACACAAGUAACUAUUAUAAAUAUAGCAUUGGAUCUCCCUGCUCUUUGGGGACCCUG
This 1076-nucleotide long non-coding RNA is filed under the name Homo sapiens (human). Its description in RNAcentral is "novel transcript". The record is from RNAcentral. Lineage: Eukaryota; Metazoa; Chordata; Mammalia; Primates; Hominidae.